GACGAACGCUGGCGGCAUGCCUAACACAUGCAAGUCGAACGAAGGCUUCGGCCUUAGUGGCGCACGGGUUCGUAACGCGAGGGAAUCUGACCUUAGGUUCGGAAUAACAGUUAGAAAUGACUGCUAAUACCGGAUGAUGACGUAAGUCCAAGGAUUUAUCGCCUGAGGAUGAGCACGAGUAGGUUUAGCUAGUUGGUGUGGUUAAGGCGCACCAAGGCGACGAUCCUUAGCUGGUCAGAGAGGAAGAUCAGCCACACUGGGAGUGAGACACGGCCCAGACUCCUACGGGAGGCAGCAAUGGGGAAUGUUGGACAAUGGGCGCAAGCCUGAUCCAGCAAGGCCGCGUGAGUGAUGAAGGCCUUAGAGAUGUAAAGCGCAUGUACCCGUGAUGAUAAUGACAGUAGCGGGAGAAUAAGCCCCGGCUAACUCCGUG
This 433-nucleotide ribosomal RNA is filed under the name uncultured bacterium. Its description in RNAcentral is "partial 16S ribosomal RNA". It matches the Rfam family "Bacterial small subunit ribosomal RNA", at positions 28 to 507 of the family's 1533-position model. The record is from RNAcentral.